AGAGAGGUGGCCGAGUGGUCGAAGGCGCACGCCUGGAAAGUGUGUAUACCCCAAAAGGGUAUCGAGGGUUCGAAUCCCUUCCUCUCUGCAA
Molecule: transfer RNA, 91 nt
Filed under: Maribacter orientalis
Lineage: Bacteria; Pseudomonadati; Bacteroidota; Flavobacteriia; Flavobacteriales; Flavobacteriaceae
Also listed under: 17 other names
Description: tRNA_Ser_GGA
Rfam family: tRNA
About the family: Transfer RNA (tRNA) molecules are approximately 80 nucleotides in length. Their secondary structure includes four short double-helical elements and three loops (D, anti-codon, and T loops).
Source: RNAcentral